CAGGAUGACGCUAGCUACCAGGCUUAACACAUGCAGUCGAGGGGCAGCAUGGUCUUAGCUUGCUAAGGCCGAUGGCGACCGGCGCACGGGUGAGUAACACGUAUCCAACCUGCCGUCUACUCUUGGACAGCCUUCUGAAAGGAAGAUUAAUACAAGAUGGCAUCAUGAGUCCGCAUGUUCACAUGAUUAAAGGUAUUCCGGUAGACGAUGGGGAUGCGUUCCAUUAGAUAGUAGGCGGGGUAACGGCCCACCUAGUCUUCGAUGGAUAGGGGUUCUGAGAGGAAGGUCCCCCACAUUGGAACUGAGACACGGUCCAAACUCCUACGGGAGGCAGCAGUGAGGAAUAUUGGUCAAUGGGCGAGAGCCUGAACCAGCCAAGUAGCGUGAAGGAUGACUGCCCUAUGGGUUGUAAACUUCUUUUAUAAAGGAAUAAAGUCGGGUAUGGAUACCCGUUUGCAUGUACUUUAUGAAUAAGGAUCGGCUAACUCCGUGCCAGCAGCCGCGGUAAUACGGAGGAUCCGAGCGUUAUCCGGAUUUAUUGGGUUUAAAGGGAGCGUAGAUGGAUGUUUAAGUCAGUUGUGAAAGUUUGCGGCUCAACCGUAAAAUUGCAGUUGAUACUGGAUAUCUUGAGUGCAGUUGAGGCAGGCGGAAUUCGUGGUGUAGCGGUGAAAUGCUUAGAUAUCACGAAGAACUCCGAUUGCGAAGGCAGCCUGCUAAGCUGCAACUGACAUUGAGGCUCGAAAGUGUGGGUAUCAACAG
Molecule: ribosomal RNA, 759 nt
Filed under: Bacteroides sp. baku-35
Lineage: Bacteria; Pseudomonadati; Bacteroidota; Bacteroidia; Bacteroidales; Bacteroidaceae
Description: bacterial SSU rRNA
Rfam family: Bacterial small subunit ribosomal RNA
Source: RNAcentral